CCUAUUAUUUGGCUCCUUUGCUUCUCCCCCUGUGCUGGAUUGGUGUGGCUGCGUUCAUCCUAAUUACAGGGCGGACCUAGGCAGACUUAUAUCUAGGAACGCAAAUUGCUACCUGGAUGUGCUACUUUCUCUCUUUCCCGUCUCCCGGGGCGCAUAGUAGUUUGGCGUGGAUCACAACUUGGAUGGUGAAGCCGCCAUCAAGUGAAUGCUCUCACGAGUAAGAGCUUGGUCUGUCCUGUCGGCGUUGAGGCCGGUGUAGCACUGUUGAGCCUGGUGUCUGCCUUAAAGCAGCUAGAGUGGUGUUGUCGGAGCUAACGCAGCUUCCCCCUCCCUCUCCCUCAACUUGAUGGUUAGGAACGAACUCUUUUUAACCUGAUAUAUGAAGUCGGCUGGCAUCGCCAAGUGUCUCCACGCCACACGCGGCUGCUGUUCUGUCUCUUACGAAGUUUAUCGCGUCCUCUUCAAUCCUCGGUUUGACGCUGGGGUUAUUGUGUAACCUACUGGUGGUAUUGUUUGUCGUACCAGUUGUGAUUGAUUGUGCAUGGGAUUCAUUUUGGACUGAUCUGCAUAACGCAUGUUUAGGGCUUUCUGGCCGUAUGGUGCAUGCUUUGCAUGUUUGAUUACUUGCUUCUUUCUGUGUAUUUGCAUGUGGUUUAUUAUGUUCUUUUCUUAUGCCUUUCCUUUUUGUUCCCUGUGAUGCAUGUUUAGAGCUGCUUUGCGCUGCAUGCACAUUUGAGUAUUUGCGGGGUUAACUCACCUGUAUCUUACAGCCCCUUCAUUGUAGUGUUGCAUUGUGGGAACUGCUGUGCAUGUGCAUGUGUGUGGUUGGUAGUGGUGUGUGUGAGCGUGUAUUUGUGUGCAGUAACGUUAUUCCCCCCAUCGCCGUGACCAGGGCGGUUGCACUGCUCCAGCUUGACCUCUGGGGGCUUCAACAUCUGUGGGGCGGCCAUUCCAGCCUCCAGCCCCACAGCUCAAAAGCUAAGUAUAACCAUACCGGCUAAUGCUAAGUUAGUGUGAUUGUGCUACCCACAGUUCUAACCAUAGUCUCUCCCCCCUCUCUCCCUUGUUCUCCUUUGGACAGGUGCGGUGUGGUCCAAGCGAGCGGCAGGCUCACCCUCAGGUGGUGGGGUCCCUUCACGUUUCCUGUAGCACACCUCGGGUGUCAAUCCUUAGCUUUGGAGUGCAGUGUGAUUGCAGUGUGAGUGCAGUGAUUGCAGUGUGAUUCUCACGUGUGAUUUGUGGGUGUCUUCUGGACCGCUUCCCUCCCCUCCUGUAGUCCUGCCGGUCGUGGUAAGCCCUCGCCCUGCUCCGUUUUCCCUUUUCUUGAGAUUGCCCAUAGACCUUGUGUGCCAGCUGACGUGCAGCCUCGCUGGUCACCGUAUGUACGGUAUGGUGUGUAUGUAUGUGUGUGUAUGUGUGUCGUGUCUCUCAUACUGGUAUCUUUCAGGGGAAUUGCCGAGACAUUUCCUCAGAGUUGGGUUUUAUAAUUGUAACUAAGAUCUGUCAAUAAAAUGUAUAUUUUUGGAA
Alosa sapidissima (American shad) is the source of this 1527-nucleotide long non-coding RNA. RefSeq lists it as uncharacterized. The transcript has 4 exons. Lineage: Eukaryota; Metazoa; Chordata; Actinopteri; Clupeiformes; Clupeidae. The record is from RefSeq and is a predicted model, not a curated record.